UGAGGAACAUGACCUUCGGCGGGGGAUAGCUGGCCCAACGGCCGGGUAAUACCGCGUACGACCACAUGGGGACAUCCCUGAGUGGUGAAAGCAGCAAUGCGCCGAUGGAGUGCCUCGCGGCCUAUCAGCUAGUUGGUGAGGUAACGGCUCACCAAGGCGACGACGGGUAGCUGGUCUGAGAGGAUGGCCAGCCACAUUGGGACUGAGACACGGCCCAGAUCCCGUACGGGG
This 231-nucleotide ribosomal RNA is filed under the name uncultured bacterium. RNAcentral describes it as "partial 16S ribosomal RNA". It matches the Rfam family "Bacterial small subunit ribosomal RNA", at positions 118 to 346 of the family's 1533-position model. The record is from RNAcentral.